This 77-nucleotide transfer RNA is filed under the name bacterium. Its description in RNAcentral is "tRNA-Arg". It matches the Rfam family "tRNA". Rfam says of the family: Transfer RNA (tRNA) molecules are approximately 80 nucleotides in length. Their secondary structure includes four short double-helical elements and three loops (D, anti-codon, and T loops). The record is from RNAcentral.
GGUCCGGUAGCUCAGCUGGAUAGAGCAACUGCCUUCUAAGCAGUCGGUCACGCGUUCGAAUCGCGUCCGGAUCACCA